This 398-nucleotide ribosomal RNA is filed under the name uncultured bacterium. Its description in RNAcentral is "partial 16S ribosomal RNA". It matches the Rfam family "Bacterial small subunit ribosomal RNA", at positions 360 to 776 of the family's 1533-position model. The record is from RNAcentral.
AAUAUUGCACAAUGGGCCAAAGCCUGAUGCAGCAACGCCGCGUGAGCGAUGAAGGCUUUCGAGUCGUAAAGCCCUGUCCGAAGGGAACAUAAUGACGGUACCUUAGGAGGAAGCCUCGGCUAACUACGUGCCAGCAGCCGCGGUAACACGUAGGGGGCAAGCGUUAUCCGGAAUCAUUGGGCGUAAAGGGUGCGUAGGCGGCCCUAUAGGUCAGAGGACAAAGGCUACGGCUCAACCGUAGUAAGCCUUUGAAACUGUAGGGCUUGAGUGCAGAGGAGGAGAGUGGAAUUCCUAGUGUAGCGGUGAAAUGCGUAGAUAUUAGGAGGAACACCAGUGGCGAAGGCGACUCUCUGGACUGCAACUGACGCUGAGGCACGAAAGCGUGGGGAGCGAACAGG